CUCGCCGUCCUGGACACGGCGGAGUGCGGAGCCGCCCGUAAGGUAUGGAGGCCGCGAGCCAGGGGCCGGGAACCGGCUGCUGGGUGGCUGGGAGAGCACGGCCAGGGGAAGCCGGCCAGCAGGACGGAGCAAGGGCGGUCACCGGAGGACAGGGGAGCUCGGGGGUCCAGCCAGACUGCGCCCUUUCCCAUCAGGGCCUGCCGCUGGCCUACUACGCAUGCGCAGCCGCAGCGCUCGGCUUUCCCCGGCCCAUCCACCGCCUUGCGCACGCGCAGCCCGCCCCUGCGGCAGAGUGGCGCCCGCGCGUGACUGCCCCCUGCCGGCUGCGGGGGGGGGGGGGGAAGACGGCGCCCCCGCCGUGUGCGUGGGGCGGGGAUGGAGCACGCGCCCUGGAGCCCCGGAGCCGCCCGGAGCCAGGUGUCACGCGUGUGACGCGUGUCCCUGAACCUACCUGCGCUUGUUGUCCCAACUCUAAAAUGGGAAUGAUAAGUGCCAUUCGGCAGCGCCCCGUGGGUCUAUAAUCUACUUAGCACAGAGAGUGUCCUCUAAGUACUUCACAUCCUUCUCUGCAGAUGCUCUGACCUUUGACCCCUGCCGUUCAGCUCUAGGGCCCGUGCAGGCCACACCAUGAACACCUCCCCAGGCACGGUGGGCAGUGACCCGGUCAUCCUGGCCACUGCAGGCUACGACCACACCGUGCGCUUCUGGCAGGCCCACAGCGGCAUCUGCACCCGGACGGUGCAGCACCAGGACUCCCAGGUGAAUGCCUUGGAGAUCACACCGGACCGCAGCAUGAUUGCUGCUGCAGGUUACCAGCACAUCCGCAUGUAUGAUCUCAACUCCAAUAACCCUAACCCCAUCAUCAGCUACGACGGCGUCAACAAGAACAUCGCGUCUGUGGGCUUCCACGAAGACGGCCGCUGGAUGUACACGGGCGGCGAGGACUGCACAGCCAGGAUCUGGGACCUCAGGUCCCGGAACCUGCAGUGCCAGCGGAUCUUCCAGGUGAACGCACCCAUUAACUGCGUGUGCCUGCACCCCAACCAGGCAGAGCUCAUCGUGGGUGACCAGAGCGGGGCUAUCCACAUCUGGGACUUGAAAACAGACCACAACGAGCAGCUGAUCCCUGAGCCCGAGGUCUCCAUCACGUCCGCCCACAUCGAUCCCGACGCCAGCUACAUGGCAGCUGUCAAUAGCACUGGAAACUGCUAUGUCUGGAAUCUGACGGGGGGCAUUGGUGACGAGGUGACCCAGCUCAUCCCCAAGACCAAGAUCCCUGCCCACACGCGCUACGCCCUGCAGUGUCGCUUCAGCCCCGACUCCACGCUCCUCGCCACCUGCUCGGCUGAUCAGACGUGCAAGAUCUGGAGGACGUCCAACUUCUCCCUGAUGACGGAGCUGAGCAUCAAGAGCGGCAACCCCGGGGAGUCCUCCCGCGGCUGGAUGUGGGGCUGCGCCUUCUCGGGGGACUCCCAGUACAUCGUCACUGCUUCCUCGGACAACCUGGCCCGGCUCUGGUGUGUGGAGACUGGAGAGAUCAAGAGAGAGUAUGGCGGCCACCAGAAGGCUGUUGUCUGCCUGGCCUUCAAUGACAGUGUGCUGGGCUAGCCUGUGACCCCUCGGGACUGCCUGGUGCAGGUGGUGGCAGCUGGAGGGACCCAUGCAGCACCCAGGUCAGAGCAGACCCUCCCCUGCCGGCCUGCGCCAGCUGGACCUGAUGGCCCCCUGUGGUGCCUUGACCUGCUGGGCCAGGCUGCCCUGGGACUCUCAGCCCCCAGUUGCUUAUCCAGAUGUGACAGAGCUCGACCCAAGCCAGGCUGCACACUCCUGGACUGGGCUAGCCUGCACUGCCUGGGAAAGUCGGCCGAGGGCCCAAAGCUGCUGAGGGGUCUGAGGCUGGUGCCCACCCCCAAGCUAGUGCGUUCUCUGCCCCUCCCUGCCCGCGUUUCAGGGCCUCGGUCCAUAGAGAACACCACCACCAUGGCCAGGUGGAAGGGUUUAUUAGUCCCUGCCGGCAGCUGUCCUCCCUGGUGCAGGUGGCCUGGCCAGCCCACUGGAUUGGGGACGGACGGGCCAGGCUGGGCCAGGUCGGGGGCUCAGUCUGGGAGGUAAUAAAAGCAGACCGACACGCA
RNAcentral lists this small RNA (2132 nucleotides) under Pan troglodytes (chimpanzee). Its description in RNAcentral is "retained intron". The record is from RNAcentral. Lineage: Eukaryota; Metazoa; Chordata; Mammalia; Primates; Hominidae.